Molecule: ribosomal RNA, 253 nt
Filed under: uncultured bacterium
Lineage: Bacteria
Description: partial 16S ribosomal RNA
Rfam family: Bacterial small subunit ribosomal RNA
Source: RNAcentral
UACGUAGGAUCCGAGCGUUGUCCGGAUUUACUGGGUGUAAAGGGUGCGCAGGCGGACUGGUAAGUCAGUGGUGAAAUCUCGUCGCUUAACGACGAAACUGCCUUUGAUACUAUCAGUCUUGAAUCCGGUAGAGAUCUGUGGAAUUCCGAGUGUAGCAGUGAAAUGUGUAGAUAUUCGGAAGAACACCAGUGGCGAAGGCAGCAGAUUGGGCCGGUAUUGACGCUCAGGCACGAAAGCAUGGGGAUCAAACAGG